This 253-nucleotide ribosomal RNA is filed under the name uncultured bacterium. RNAcentral's name for it is "partial 16S ribosomal RNA". It matches the Rfam family "Bacterial small subunit ribosomal RNA", at positions 524 to 776 of the family's 1533-position model. The record is from RNAcentral.
UACGUAGGCAGCGAGCGUUGUUCGGGGUUACUGGGCGUAAAGGGUGUGUAGGCGGUUGCUUAAGUUUGGUGUGAAAUCUCCCGGCUCAACCGGGAGGGUGCGCCGAAUACUGAGUGACUAGAGUGCGGGAGAGGAAAGUGGAAUUCCUGGUGUAGCGGUGAAAUGCGUAGAUAUCAGGAGGAACACCGGUGGUGUAGACGGCUUUCUGGACCGUAACUGACGCUGAGACACGAAAGCGUGGGUAGCAAACAGG